CACGAAGGGGGCUAGCGUUGCUCGGAUUGACUGGGCGUAAAGGGCGCGUAGGCGGUUCGUACAGUCAGACGUGAAAUUCCUGGGCUCAACCUGGGGGCUGCGUUUGAUACGUGCGGACUUGAGUGCGGAAGAGGGUCGUGGAAUUCCCAGUGUAGAGGUGAAAUUCGUAGAUAUUGGGAAGAACACCGGUGGCGAAGGCGGCGACCUGGUCCGAUACUGACGCUGAGGCGCGAAAGCGUGGGGAGCAAACAGG
RNAcentral lists this ribosomal RNA (253 nucleotides) under uncultured bacterium. Its description in RNAcentral is "partial 16S ribosomal RNA". It matches the Rfam family "Bacterial small subunit ribosomal RNA", at positions 524 to 776 of the family's 1533-position model. The record is from RNAcentral.